UGCUGCUGCAGCUAGUGGGAAGGAUUUGGAAGAGACAGGUAGUGAGGAUGAUGGGCUUUUGGAUUUGAGUGAAGAUGAUUUCUUCUUAACUGGAACUUCAAGUGAUGAAGCAGACGCAGAUGAUGAAUGGACUGAUAAAAGUACAAGGGAACAUGCUUCUAGUACUUCUGGCAAAGCAGCAUCUGGUAUGUCCAGUGAUGAAAGGAACCAGAGGCAGAUGUCUGCUAGAGCUCUAAUGCCUCCUCC
Molecule: unclassified non-coding RNA, 246 nt
Filed under: Hevea brasiliensis (rubber tree)
Lineage: Eukaryota; Viridiplantae; Streptophyta; Magnoliopsida; Malpighiales; Euphorbiaceae
Source: RNAcentral